CUGACCAAUGAUGAGAAAGUGUUUAUGAACAAAAGGUGGUGAUUAAUCCAGUUCUGCGGGUCCAUU
Jaculus jaculus (lesser Egyptian jerboa) is the source of this 66-nucleotide small nucleolar RNA. RefSeq annotates it as small nucleolar RNA SNORD112. NCBI's taxonomy places the organism in Eukaryota, Metazoa, Chordata, Mammalia, Rodentia, Dipodidae. The transcript has a single exon. The record is from RefSeq and is a predicted model, not a curated record.